This is a non-coding RNA of Cinara cedri, 229 nucleotides long. The record is from the annotation of a GenBank genome assembly. Lineage: Eukaryota; Metazoa; Arthropoda; Insecta; Hemiptera; Aphididae.
CAUCACCCUAAAACUUAUAUAGAACUUGGAUGUUUAUGGAGUUUUUUACAUGAAAAAUUAAAAAAUUUGACCAUUCGUCCUUUCUGCAUUUAGCGAUUCAUAAAAUUGGAUUGGAUACAAUAUACAGGGUGUUUCAAAUUUCAUGUUACAUUCAAAUUUUCUAUGAAGUACUUAUGUUUUUAAAAAAAAAUUAUUUAAAUGCCUUGAACUGUGAUUCAUUACUCUCUUC